AUGCACGCUGGCGGCGUGCCUCAUCCCUGCCAGUCGAGCGAACGGACGAGAAGCUUGCUUCUCUGAUGUUAGCGGCGGACGGGUGAGUAACACGUGGAUAACCUACCUAUAAGACUGGGAUAACUUCGGGAAACCGGAGCUAAUACCGGAUGAUAUUUUGAACCGCAUGGUUCAAAAGUGAAAGACGGUCUUGCUGUCACUUAUAGAUGGAUCCGCGCUGCAUUAGCUAGUUGGUAAGGUAACGGCUUACCAAGGCAACGAUGCAUAGCCGACCUGAGAGGGUGAUCGGCCACACUGGAACUGAGACACGGUCCAGACUCCUACGGGAGGCAGCAGUAGGGAAUCUUCCGCAAUGGGCGAAAGCCUGACGGAGCAACGCUGCGUGAGUGAUGAAGGUCUUCGGAUCGUAAAACUCUGUUAUUAGGGAAGAACAUAUGUGUAAGUAACUGUGCACAUCUUGACGGUACCUAAUCAGAAAGCCACGGCUAACUACGUG
RNAcentral lists this ribosomal RNA (496 nucleotides) under uncultured bacterium. RNAcentral's name for it is "partial 16S ribosomal RNA". It matches the Rfam family "Bacterial small subunit ribosomal RNA", at positions 29 to 507 of the family's 1533-position model. The record is from RNAcentral.